This 123-nucleotide ribosomal RNA is filed under the name Periophthalmus magnuspinnatus. The record is from RNAcentral. Lineage: Eukaryota; Metazoa; Chordata; Actinopteri; Gobiiformes; Gobiidae.
GUCUGCUUUAACAAUGACGGCCUUGGCAAUGCCUCACCUCGUCUAAUCUCUGAAGCUAAGCAGGGUCGGGCCUGGGUAGUACUUUGGAGAUGGAGACUGGGAGACUACUGGGAAUAGCAGGGC